RNAcentral lists this unclassified non-coding RNA (296 nucleotides) under Hevea brasiliensis (rubber tree). Lineage: Eukaryota; Viridiplantae; Streptophyta; Magnoliopsida; Malpighiales; Euphorbiaceae. The record is from RNAcentral.
GUGUUGCCACUUCUGCCUAUCAGGUACCCUUUUCAUCAGCAUAGAGAUUUGUCCUUGCUGAUUGUUUGCAAAAUGUGAUCUGGAUACUCGCCAGUUUUAUUCGUGCUGAUGGUCCUUUUCCUUCUUCCUUUUCUCUCUGCUCUUCUUUUUGGUUCUUUUCCUUGUUAAAUUUGUCAUAGUUGCUUUUGGCUGCUUCCUCGAUCUCUUGUGAUUUGUGUAAUUUCCUUCUGCUUUAUUUUGGGGAUCGUUUUAAGAAUCUAAUUAUCAUUUUACCUAUCUUGUACAAAUUAUUGUUG